CCUACGGGAGGCAGCAGUGGGGAAUUUUGGACAAUGGGCGCAAGCCUGAUCCAGCAAUGCCGCGUGAGUGAAGAAGGCCUUCGGGUUGUAAAGCUCUUUUGUCAGGGAAGAAACGGCAGUUUCUAAUACAGAUUGCUAAUGACGGUACCUGAAGAAUAAGCACCGGCUAACUACGUGCCAGCAGCCGCGGUAAUACGUAGGGUGCAAGCGUUAAUCGGAAUUACUGGGCGUAAAGCGUGCGCAGGCGGUUUUGUAAGUUUGUCGUGAAAUCCCCGGGCUCAACCUGGGAAUGGCGAUGAAGACUGCAAGGCUAGAAUCUGGCAGAGGGGGGUAGAAUUCCACGUGUAGCAGUGAAAUGCGUAGAGAUGUGGAGGAACACCGAUGGCGAAGGCAGCCCCCUGGGUCAAGAUUGACGCUCAUGCACGAAAGCGUGGGGAGCAAACAGGAUUAGAUACCCUGGUAGUCCACGCCCUAAACGAUGUCUACUAGUUNUCGGGUUUUAAUUAACCUUGGUAACGCAGCUAACGCGUGAAGUAGACCGCCUGGGGAGUCGGUCGCAAGNUUAAACUUNAAAGGAUUGNGNGNGNGNGNGCGAGNGAGAGAGGAGAG
Molecule: ribosomal RNA, 609 nt
Filed under: uncultured bacterium
Lineage: Bacteria
Description: bacterial SSU rRNA
Rfam family: Bacterial small subunit ribosomal RNA
Source: RNAcentral